RNAcentral lists this non-coding RNA (119 nucleotides) under Salinibacter ruber. The record is from RNAcentral. Lineage: Bacteria; Pseudomonadati; Rhodothermota; Rhodothermia; Rhodothermales; Salinibacteraceae.
GAGAGCCGAGAUGCGGGGAAACCCGCACGUCCGGUUCGGGAAGAGGGAUGUGGGAGACGGCCCGGAGUAUCCACGGGAAGCCUGGACAUAGGCCAUACGCGUCCACACCCUACUUUCAC